GCUUGCUUCCGCCGACGACCGGCGCACGGGUGCGUAACGCGUAUACAAUCUACCUUAUACUGGGGUAUAGCCUUUAGAAAUGAAGAUUAACCCCCCAUAGUCUCUUAGAGUGGCAUCACUUCUAGAGUAAAGGUUACGGUAUAAGAUGAGUAUGCGUUCUAUUAGUUUGUUGGUGUGGUAACGGCACACCAAGACUACGAUAGAUAGGGGCCCUGAGAGGGGGAUCCCCCACACUGGUACUGAGACACGGACCAGACUCCUACGGGAGGCAGCAGUGGGGAAUUUUCCGCAAUGGACGAAAGUCUGACGGAGCGACGCUGCGUGAAGGAUGACGGCCCGCGGGUUGUAAACUUCUUUUCUCGAAGAAGAAACAAAUGACGGUAUUCGAGGAAUAAGCAUCGGCUAACUCCGUGCCAGCAGCCGCGGUAAGACGGAGGAUGCAAGUGUUAUUCGGAAUGAUUGGGCGUAAAGAGUCUGUAGGCUGUAU
This 487-nucleotide ribosomal RNA is filed under the name uncultured Bacteroidota bacterium. RNAcentral's name for it is "bacterial SSU rRNA". It matches the Rfam family "Bacterial small subunit ribosomal RNA", at positions 78 to 581 of the family's 1533-position model. Lineage: Bacteria; Pseudomonadati; Bacteroidota. The record is from RNAcentral.